CCGGUACGAUGAUGAAACCAUAGUUCAGCAGACUAGCAGUGAUGAGCAAAAUGUCUUUCGCUCCUAUCUGAUGUAUCUG
Small nucleolar RNA from Zalophus californianus (California sea lion), 79 nucleotides. NCBI's taxonomy places the organism in Eukaryota, Metazoa, Chordata, Mammalia, Carnivora, Otariidae. The record is from Ensembl.